RNAcentral lists this unclassified non-coding RNA (348 nucleotides) under soil metagenome. RNAcentral's name for it is "partial contains 5.8S ribosomal RNA, internal transcribed spacer 2, and large subunit ribosomal RNA". The stretch from base 1 to 120 matches the Rfam family "5.8S ribosomal RNA", at positions 35 to 154 of the family's 154-position model. The record is from RNAcentral.
GAUGAAGAACGCAGCGAAAUGCGAUAAGUAAUGUGAAUUGCAGAACUCAGUGAAUCAUCGAAUCUUUGAACGCACAUUGCGCCCCCUGGUAUUCCGGGGGGCAUGCCUGUCCGAGCGUCAUUGCUGCCCUCAAGCACGGCUUGUGUGUUGGGCCCCGCCUCCCGGCUCCCGGGGGGCGGGCCCGAAAGGCAGCGGCGGCACCGCGUCCGGUCCUCGAGCGUAUGGGGCUUCGUCACCCGCUCCGUAGGCCCGGCCGGCGCCCGCCGGCGACCCCCCUCAAUCUUUUCAGGUUGACCUCGGAUCAGGUAGGGAUACCCGCUGAACUUAAGCAUAUCAAUAAGCGGAGGA